UACGGAGGGUGCGAGCGUUACCCGGAUUUACUGGGUGUAAAGGGCGUGUCGGCGGUCUCUCAAGUCCGAUGCUAAAGACCGAAGCUCAACUUCGGGGGUGCGUUGGAUACUGUGAGGCUAGACGGUCGGAGGGGGUAGCGGAAUUUCCGGAGUAGCGGUGAAAUGCGCAGAUACCGGAAGGAACGCCGAUAGCGAAGGCAGCUAGCUGGACGAUUGGUGACGCUGAGGCGCGUAAGCGUGGGGAGCAAACCGG
Molecule: ribosomal RNA, 253 nt
Filed under: uncultured bacterium
Lineage: Bacteria
Description: partial 16S ribosomal RNA
Rfam family: Bacterial small subunit ribosomal RNA
Source: RNAcentral